AUUGAACGCUGGCGGCAUGCUUUACACAUGCAAGUCGAACGGCAGCGCGGGCUUCGGCCUGGCGGCGAGUGGCGAACGGGUGAGUAAUACAUCGGAACGUGCCCAGUAGUGGGGGAUAGCUCGGCGAAAGCCGGAUUAAUACCGCAUACGACCUGAGGGUGAAAGCGGGGGAUCUUCGGACCUCGCGCUAUUGGAGCGGCCGAUGGCAGAUUAGCUAGUUGGUGGGGUAAAGGCCUACCAAGGCGACGAUCUGUAGCUGGUCUGAGAGGACGACCAGCCAAACUGGGACUGGGACACGGCCCAGACUCCUACGGGAGGCAGCAGUGGGGAAUUUUGGACAAUGGGCGAAAGCCUGAUCCAGCAAUGCCGCGUGUGUGAUGAAGGCCUUCGGGUUGUAAAGCACUUUUGGCGGGAACGAAAAGGACUGUGCCAAUACCACGGUUCGAUGACGGUACCCGCAGAAUAAGCACCGGCUAACUACGUG
Molecule: ribosomal RNA, 484 nt
Filed under: uncultured bacterium
Lineage: Bacteria
Description: partial 16S ribosomal RNA
Rfam family: Bacterial small subunit ribosomal RNA
Source: RNAcentral